GAUCCUGGCUCAGGAUGAACGCUGGCGGCGUGCUUAACACAUGCAAGUCGAGGGGCAGCAUGGUCUUAGCUUGCUAAGGCCGAUGGCGACCGGCGCACGGGUGAGUAACACGUAUCCAACCUGCCGUCUACUCUUGGACAGCCUUCUGAAAAGGAAGAUUAAUACAAGAUGGCAUCAUGAGUCCGCAUGUUCACAUGAUUAAAGGUAUUCCGGUAGACGAUGGGGAUGCCG
Molecule: ribosomal RNA, 231 nt
Filed under: uncultured bacterium
Lineage: Bacteria
Description: partial 16S ribosomal RNA
Rfam family: Bacterial small subunit ribosomal RNA
Source: RNAcentral